Molecule: long non-coding RNA, 561 nt
Organism: Pezoporus occidentalis (night parrot)
Lineage: Eukaryota; Metazoa; Chordata; Aves; Psittaciformes; Psittacidae
Exons: 3
Source: RefSeq, a predicted model, not a curated record
AAGAGAGCCGAGAGAAGUUUCACUGGGGCCACUUCCCUUUGCUCAGGAUCUGUGUUCAGGCUUCAGAGCUUGAUUCUGCCUUUAGCUUGUUGUAGCUACAUCGCCCACUACUCUCCCCCAAAGUUAUCAAGAUCCCAUUUCUGCAAGUGAACUGAGGCUGAAGCACACCUUUUCCUGCACAGAGCAUCAUGGUGUCUACCUGCAUGGACACCUACAUCAGCAGAGGUAGGACAGGACCAGCCAGAUGGAAGGCAGACAAGUCAUCCAAGUGACAGUGGGAGAACUUCUGGUGGAUGGUCCCCCUUCCUGACACAACCCUCUACUGCAUUCUGCCAGGAAAGUACUACAUAAAUAUAUGCCACUGCCUCAACCUGCAGGUCUUCUGGAAGUUAAAAGGAGUUUUAUUAUCGGUUUAAAUGGGCAAAGAUUUAAGACAGUGCUGAGAACUCUGACAGUCCCACCACUCUUUUAUAUGUGAUGACAAUUUGCUUUGAAAUCCUUAUAAACAGACUGAGCUCAGGAGCUGCAGCUGAAUGCAGUAUGAAAUUAAUCAGGUCAUCU